AGAUGUAUGAUUCUUUAUUUAAACGGCAGUAAAGAACGCUGGAAUAGGCUUUCCAGGGACACUCCCAUGAGCUCUGGGCUCCUUUGCAGCUUCCAGCUCUGGGUCUUAUUUAAUGGGCUUCAAAGGUCACUGUCUCCAUGAUGUCCGGUGUCAUAGAACCAACCGUCUCCAGCCCCUGGCCACCCUCUGCUGUCUCGGCGAUGGCCACGUUGGUGCUCCUCUCCGCCAUCUUAGCCAUGACGUUCACAUCUCUGCCAUGUGGUGUGCCCACUACUUUUGUAGUAAGGUUGGCUCUGACGUUCCUCAGGAAAGAGCUGACCCUGCCAAGUCCCUUGCUGGAACCGGAACUGGUGGUCCAUAAGCUCCUCCCAGAUUUGUGAGAGGUCCUGGACUCCUUUGAGAUGGGCGUGUGGCUGACACCUUUAUGCGAGUCCCUGUGCCUGCUGCUCCCCGGGUUGCCACAGCCUUUCUCCUUUUUGUCAUCUCUAUUGGCUCUGUGGCUGAAUGAGGACCUGCUGGAGGACUUUUGGGCAAUCUUGUCUCCCCUUGUUUUGUGGCGGCUUUCACCUGUCCUGCGGCGAUGGGAACUCCUUCCGAGAGCCCUGUCCUUUUCCCUUCUUUCCCUCCCCUCCUUGCAGCCUUCAGCGCUGGCCUGGGUUCGCUCCCUUCCAUGCUGUCCACUCAGGCUGCUCUUGCUCUGCCGGGUGGAGACGGGAGGUCCCGCUGCUGCAUCCAUGUCUGCUUCUGCAGCUGUCCUGCUGGUCAGUACUACUCCUGCAAUGGCCAGGCUCACACUGCCCUCUCGGGAAAGGCUCAUGGAUGCGCUGGAAACAUGCUCUGAGGACUUGCCUGCAGCCCCUGCCACAGCCACCUUCGUGCUGUUUGGAGCCAUGCUGGCAGUGCCUGCAAGGGCCAUGUUGCCUUUGUUUCCUCCUGCACCGAUGGUGGCCGCCCCAGCUAUGGCUGCGCUCACCUGUCCAGGGGCAGAAUUGGCUGCUGCCACACUCAAGGCACCUGCUACGGUGCCUGUUGCUGCCCCUGCAGCUGCCCCUGCUGCUGCUGCCUCUUUAAUCCCCCCUGUUGCUGGCUCCUCAGCAAGUUCUGUAGAUGUUUUGGGGAUGGAUGCAUUGAGCACAUUAGUGGGUUUGUUAAAGUCAUUUUGGAGUCCCUCCCCUCCAGCAUAAGCAGCAGAGGUGGCCCCACACACCUCAGAGACCAUGUGGAGGCUUUGGAUGCUGACCUGGUCCUGAUCCCCCUUUCCUUGAAGGUUCACGGCUCCCAGGCUCCUCCUGUCUUCCUGAAACACAGGCAUCCACAUCAUGUCUUCAGCUGGAAUGCCACAGGUACUGCUGUUACUCUCCAUGGGUGGCCGCAAGAGGUAAAUUAGUUUUUCCCAAUAGGCAAAGAGGUCAUCCCGUGUGUCAAGAGCGGGACACAAUUGCAGAUAGCAAGAUCUGCCAGUGGCGAACUUCAGGCGCAGCUGUUGUUUCUCAUGGUCUUGAACAGAGAUCCGUACAAACCUCAGGGGCAGAAGCCUGUUGUCGCUGCAGUUUCCCCAUGGUGGUGUUGAACAUGCUCAUGCUGGAGCCACUCUGGGCCGUAUAAUACGGCAGCAGAAAAUCAGCAUUCAUGGUUGUCUUUCAGCACAACGGCAGCACUGGUGAGGCAGGUCUCUGGGUCUUCCUUGGCCUCGGUGGCAGAUGAGGGACCAGUGGUGCUCCUGGGUCACAAAGAUGUCUCUGCAGCUGGUCUCUCAAUCCCACCCCACCCCACAGGCCCCCACUGUUGCCUCAGAGCCUCCCAGAGGCCGGGGUGGGGGUGGGAGCACGGAUGAUUGCUGUGGGGGGUGCUGUAGGGUGCCUGGACUCCAGACUCUUCCAAGACGUAGAGAUGCAGGGUGGGCUCCAGAGAGGUUUUCUUCUGGACCUAACCCCCUGACCUCCACCUCUGAUUUUUUUAAUUACAGUUUGUAGUCUCUCUCCCUGAGAGAGACUACAAACUGUAGUCCUAGUGACAGGAAGUGACGACCCUCUCUGCCUAAACCCCCUGUGCAGCCAUAUUUAUCUUCUGCUUCCCUUUGUGACCUGUUGCUGUCACAUACCCCUUUGUUCUCAUCCCCCAGGCCAGGGCCACAAUGCCCUCACUAAUACUCCAUUGCCCCCAUAGAGGACAGCCCCACCGUGCCAGGUACUCAAGUGGGUGCCAAAAUAAAAAUUUUUCAAAUG
Long non-coding RNA from Homo sapiens (human), 2225 nucleotides. NCBI's taxonomy places the organism in Eukaryota, Metazoa, Chordata, Mammalia, Primates, Hominidae. The record is from Ensembl.